AACGAACGCUGGCGGCAUGCCUAACACAUGCAAGUCGAACGAGACCUUCGGGUCUAGUGUCGCACGGCUUCGUAACGCGUGGGAACCUGCCCUUAGGUUCGGAAUAACUCCCCGAAAGGGGUGCUAAUACCGGAUAAUGUCUUCGGACCAAAGACUUAUCGCCUUUGGAUGGGCCCGCGUUGGAUUAGCUAGUUGUUAGGGUAAAAGCCUACCAAGGGGACGAUCCAUAGCUGGUCUGAGAGGAUGAUCAGCCACACUGGGACUGAGAAACGGCCCAGACUCUUACGGGAGGGAGGAGUGGGGAAUAGUGGACCACGGGCGAAAGGCUGAUCCAGCACUGACGCGUGAGCGAUGAAGGCAUUAGGGUUGUAAAGCGCUUUUACCCGGGAUGAUAAUGACAGUACCGGGAGAAUAAGCCACGGCUAACUCCGUG
Molecule: ribosomal RNA, 433 nt
Filed under: uncultured bacterium
Lineage: Bacteria
Description: partial 16S ribosomal RNA
Rfam family: Bacterial small subunit ribosomal RNA
Source: RNAcentral